CUCAAAGUAUUGGCAUUGACUACAGACAUGAUAGACGUGACAUCGGAAAGGGUUUCGUGUUUCACGUUCUGAAAUACCGACCUCGAAAAAAAUCAUAGUGCUUUUCAUGCCCUCUACAAUUUAUAACGUUGUGGUUAAUUACCUAUGAUAAUUAAUUAUGUAUGUAUGUUAUUUGUUUGAACGGCAAAUAAAACAUUAGUCAACGCUCGAAUAGAUAAACUUCUGGUCAUUGAAUUCUACAUCUACUACUAUUGCAUGAAUGGAAAAUUGUAAGUACAUAGUAAAGAAAUAAGUAUCUGUCGCACGACAGGUUCAAAUAAAUGGAAGUCAACCGCACAUUAAAUGUAAAUUAUAGACAUUGUUGUAUAAAAUAACGUAAGUAAUUAAAUUAAUAAUUGAACCAAAACAAUACUUUAACGUAAUCUUAUAUUAGAGGGUAAAACAGAGUUGUCUUUGUAAAAACAUAUUAGAUUUAUAUAUCUGACAGAUAAUUGUUGAACAAUGGUAUAUGCUUACAAUUUAGUUAAGAAAAUGUACAAAUUGUUCUAAAAUAUUAUGGUGGGUCGUAAAAAUCACAAAUCUAGUGAUAGAGUAAUGAAUUUCAAUUUAUUCCAUGCCGAGAUUUAUGUAAGAAUCUAAUAUGUACAACUUAAUACGAUGACUUACAUCCUCUUCGUCGUCGAUUUUCAUGGAAUGCUGAUUUGCAAACUGCAAAUAUUUCGGUUUUUGCUGACGUUUUUUCAGAAACGAUACAGUCUCAAGUCGUCGAUCCAUUUGCAAAACUCAUAUUCUUCGUAUCAAUUUUCACCAUGAUCAUUCAUCAUUCUACAGAUUAUAUAUUUUACAGCGCGAUACUUUCUUCCUUCGUAUUUGUUUCCAUUCCACGAAUUAAUUGUUGGCAAUUUGCUUCCAUGAGUCUAUCGAAAGAUUGUUUUAUCUGGAAAUUCGCCAUCUGACGGGGCCGUGUUUUUUUUGCGAUUCAGAGGUAUCAUAUUAUCCACAUUUUUUAAUAUUACACAUUUUAUCUGUUCGUAAAAUCUUAUGUACUUAUAUAUGUCAUUUAAUUAAUAGUAAUUAAAUUCAUAAUAAAAAAAGAUAUAAAACAAAAUUUCAUAUUGGUAUUAAGAUGGCGAAAAAGAGACUUCGGAUAAUGAGGAUGAAAUGAAAAAAUGAAAUGAAAGAAAAUGAAACGAUUUGGCCGGAAUCUAGCUUUUCUCACUUCAAUACAAAUAAUGUGUUCGCGUCUAAUUUGCAUAAUAAACGUGUAAACAAUAGAUGUCUUCGAUCAAUCAUAGAAUUGAAUGUCUAUGUUUAACGAUGUCUAUGGUUGUUGGAAAAGCCAUAUAAUUUCGCUUGUUCUGCUAAGAUUGUUAUCUAUAACUUGAAACAAAAUAACUAGCUAGCGAAAAAUAUAUUCUUACAUUUUAUAUUUUAUCUAUAUGUAUUCUGACAAUAGCUAACAUUUAAAAAAUGAAUAAGACAAUCGUCGUUUAGAAAGCAAACAUUUAUUCAAACGCGUGACAUACGGCAACUUGGAAAAAACUUUGUAUCGCAGUACUUCUUAACUACGUUUUAUGUAUAAAAAUAGUUUUUCUCAAGUUAGUUUCUCAAGUUAGUUAAGUAAUUUAAUUAAUUUAAUUAAUUUAAUUAUUGCGAUCUUGAAGAUGCCGUCGACUGUCUUAAUUAAUGUUCCAUUAUGAAACUUAGGAGCUUCUGUCCUCGGUUAUUCUGCGAGUAAAACAUAUACUGGAUAUCUUGAAGAAGAACCGACUGUGUCAUUCAUGUCAGGGAACGAAAGAGGAUAAAAAAUCAUCCAUUGGUCAGACGUGUCGCAUGUUUUCGGUACAGGUCUCACAAUUUCUAGGAAGAAUUCGUAAUUGUAUAUGACUGAUUCCAAUACUCUCGGUUCGUUUAACACAGAUUUAAAAGCGUGAAACGAACGAAAUACUUUAGCUCCUAACGUCAAAUAUUAAUUUUAUUUUGAAGCUGACAUCGUACGAUAAAGCAGAAAUGGCGAAAUGCAACGACUAUUUGGCAUGGUACCAAAGUGGGCGCAUCCAGCGGGCUUUUUUGUGACGUCAAGGAUGGACUUUGUUGUUUCAUAUCCUCGGAAAGAGCCGGUGGAACGUUAAACUCCUUUUAAAAGUAGCUCAUUUCUUAAAUACGUUGAAACGUUCUUCAUGGCGAAUCGACUUUUUGGAAAAGCAAAUUGUGUUCUUUUAUCUUCAGGCUGAAAGCUAUUUCAUGCUUGUCCAGAAUCGGAAUUACCCUUGCACAAGCGACUAUGCCGUAGAUAGCCAGAAAAGUAUGAAAAGAGAAUUUAUGAAGUUCGUGGUGUCCUUACACUAAUCAUUCUUUCGUGUCAGUACCUCUUAAGUACAGAACCAUACAAAUUGAAAAAUAUUCGUUCACAUGAAUUUAAAUCUAAUUUAAAUUCGCCGGUGAAAAGUAGAUUAUAUAAAAUAACCAUUUGAUUACACCUUCUGGUCUUAAAUU
Long non-coding RNA from Bombus terrestris (buff-tailed bumblebee), 2496 nucleotides. RefSeq lists it as uncharacterized. The transcript has 3 exons. Lineage: Eukaryota; Metazoa; Arthropoda; Insecta; Hymenoptera; Apidae. The record is from RefSeq and is a predicted model, not a curated record.